Molecule: ribosomal RNA, 691 nt
Filed under: Bacillaceae bacterium
Lineage: Bacteria; Bacillati; Bacillota; Bacilli; Caryophanales; Bacillaceae
Description: bacterial SSU rRNA
Rfam family: Bacterial small subunit ribosomal RNA
Source: RNAcentral
UUCAUGCAGUCGAGCGCAGGAGCAGUUGAUCCCCUUCGGGGGUGACGCUUGUGGAAUGAGCGGCGGACGGGUGAGUAACACGUGGGCAACCUGCCUGUAAGACUGGGAUAACCCCGGGAAACCGGGGCUAAUACCGGAUAAUACUUUCUUUUGCAUAAAGGAAAGUUGAAAGGCGGCUUCGGCUGUCACUUACAGAUGGGCCCGCGGCGCAUUAGCUAGUUGGUGAGGUAACGGCUCACCAAGGCGACGAUGCGUAGCCGACCUGAGAGGGUGAUCGGCCACACUGGGACUGAGACACGGCCCAGACUCCUACGGGAGGCAGCAGUAGGGAAUCUUCCGCAAUGGACGAAAGUCUGACGGAGCAACGCCGCGUGAGUGAUGAAGGUUUUCGGAUCGUAAAACUCUGUUGUUAGGGAAGAACAAGUUGGGUAGUAACUGACCCAACCUUGACGGUACCUAACCAGAAAGCCACGGCUAACUACGUGCCAGCAGCCGCGGUAAUACGUAGGUGGCAAGCGUUGUCCGGAAUUAUUGGGCGUAAAGCGCUCGCAGGCGGUCCUUUAAGUCUGAUGUGAAAUCUCGCGGCUCAACCGCGAACGGUCAUUGGAAACUGGAGGACUUGAGUACAGAAGAGGAGAGUGGAAUUCCACGUGUAGCGGUGAAAUGCGUAGAGAUGUGGAGGAACACCAGU